This 428-nucleotide ribosomal RNA is filed under the name uncultured bacterium. RNAcentral describes it as "bacterial SSU rRNA". It matches the Rfam family "Bacterial small subunit ribosomal RNA", at positions 355 to 776 of the family's 1533-position model. The record is from RNAcentral.
UCGAGAAUUUUUCUCAAUGGGGGAAACCCUGAAGGAGCGACGCCGCGUGGAGGAUGAAGGUCUUCGGAUUGUAAACUCCUGUCAUGAGGGAGCAAAGCACAGCGUUAACUGCGUAUGUGUGUGAUAGUACCUCAAGAGGAAGGGACGGCUAACUCUGUGCCAGCAGCCGCGGUAAUACAGAGGUCCCGAGCGUUGUUCGGAUUCAUUGGGCGUAAAGGGUGCGUAGGCGGUUAGGUAAGUCAGAUGUGAAAUUCCGGGGCUCAACCGCGGAACUGCAUUUGAUACUGCUUGACUAGAGUACUGGAGAGGAGACUGGAAUUCACGGUGUAGCAGUGAAAUGCGUAGAUAUCGUGAGGAAGGCCAGUGGCGAAGGCGAGUCUCUGGACAGUUACUGACGCUGAGGCACGAAGGCUAGGGGAGCAAACGGG